This 500-nucleotide ribosomal RNA is filed under the name uncultured bacterium. RNAcentral describes it as "partial 16S ribosomal RNA". It matches the Rfam family "Bacterial small subunit ribosomal RNA", at positions 30 to 523 of the family's 1533-position model. The record is from RNAcentral.
AUUGAACGCUGGCGGCAUGCCUUACACAUGCAAGUCGAACGGCAGCACGGGAGCAAUCCUGGUGGCGAGUGGCGAACGGGUGAGUAAAGUAUCGGAACGUGCCCAGUCGUGGGGGAUAGCGUAGCGAAAGUUACGCUAAUACCGCAUACGAUCUAUGGAUGAAAGCGGGGGAUCGCAAGACCUCGCGCGAUUGGAGCGGCCGAUAUCAGAUUAGGUGGCUGGUGGGGUAAAGGCUCACCAAGCCGACGAUCUGUAGCUGGUCUGAGAGGACGACCGGCAACACUGGGCAUGAGACACGGCCCAGCCUCCUACGGGAGGCAGCAGUGGUGAAUUUUGGACAAUGGGCGCAAGCCUGAUCCAGCCAUGCCGCGUGCAGGAUGAAGGCCUUCGGGUUGUAAACUGCUUUUGUACGGAACGAAAGGGUUUGACUUAAUACGUUGGCCUCAUGACGGUACCGUAAGAAUAAGCACCGGCUAACUACGUGCCAGCAGCCGCCGUAA